AACGCACGAGACCUGCGGACCUGCGGAGGGAUCAUUCACAAUAAGUGUUUUAUGGCACUUUAAUUCCAUAUCCACCUUGUGUGCAACGUAGUUCGUUUUUCGAACAAAACAUCAACAUUUUAAUUAUCAACAGAUCGUCUGAAGUAUUAUAUGAAUAAAUCAAUUCAAAAUACAACUUUCAGCAACGGAUCUCU
RNAcentral lists this unclassified non-coding RNA (194 nucleotides) under soil metagenome. RNAcentral describes it as "partial contains 5.8S ribosomal RNA, internal transcribed spacer 2, and large subunit ribosomal RNA". The record is from RNAcentral.